This 469-nucleotide ribosomal RNA is filed under the name uncultured bacterium. Its description in RNAcentral is "bacterial SSU rRNA". It matches the Rfam family "Bacterial small subunit ribosomal RNA", at positions 330 to 794 of the family's 1533-position model. The record is from RNAcentral.
ACCAGACUCCUACGGGAGGCAGCAGUGAGGAAUAUUGGUCAAUGGGCGGAAGCCUGAACCAGCCAAGUCGCGUGAGGGAAGAAGGCCCUGCGGGUCGCAGACCUCUUUGGACGGGGAGCAAGGCCGCCGACGUGUCGGCGGAAGGAGAGUACCCGUAGAACAAGCAUCGGCUAACUCCGUGCCAGCAGCCGCGGUAAUACGUAGGGGGCAAGCGUUAUCCGGAUUUACUGGGUGUAAAGGGAGCGUAGACGGCGAUGCAAGUCAGAAGUGAAAGCCCGCGGCUCAACUGCGGGACUGCUUUUGAAACUGUAUAGCUUGAGUGCAGGAGAGGUAAGCGGAAUUCCUAGUGUAGCGGUGAAAUGCGUAGAUAUUAGGAGGAACACCAGUGGCGAAGGCGGCUUACUGGACUGUAACUGACGUUGAGGCUCGAAAGCGUGGGGAGCAAACAGGAUUAGAUACCCCGGUACAA